AUUGAACGCUGGCGGCAGGCUUAACACAUGCAAGUCGAGCGAGCGGCGGACGGGUGAGUAAUGUCUGGGAAACUGCCUGAUGGAGGGGGAUAACUACUGGAAACGGUAGCUAAUACCGCAUACCAUCAGAUGUGCCCAGAUGGGAUUAGCGAGUAGGUGGGGUAAUGGCGCACCUAGGCGACGAACCCUAGGUGGUCGGGGAGGAUGACCAGCCAAACUGGAACGGAGACACGGUCCAGAGUCCUACGGGAGGCAGCAGUGGGGAAUAUUGAACAAGGGGCGCAAGCCUGAUGCAGCCAGGCCGCGUGUGUGAAGAAGGCCUUCGGGUUGUAAAGCACUUUCAGCGAGGAGGCGUUACUCGCAGAAGAAGCACCGGCUAACUCCGUGCCAGCCGCCGCGGUAAUAC
This 406-nucleotide ribosomal RNA is filed under the name uncultured bacterium. RNAcentral describes it as "partial 16S ribosomal RNA". It matches the Rfam family "Bacterial small subunit ribosomal RNA", at positions 29 to 526 of the family's 1533-position model. The record is from RNAcentral.